Molecule: ribosomal RNA, 253 nt
Filed under: uncultured bacterium
Lineage: Bacteria
Description: partial 16S ribosomal RNA
Rfam family: Bacterial small subunit ribosomal RNA
Source: RNAcentral
UACGGAGGGUGCAAGCGUUAUCCGGAUUUACUGGGCUUAAAGGGUGUGUAGGCGGGCCAUUAAGUCAGGGGUGAAAUCCCGGAGCUCAACUCCGGAACUGCCUUUGAUACUAUUGGUCUUGAAUGUUGUUGAGGUGGGCGGAACGGGUCAUGUAGCGGUGAAAUGCAUAGAUAUGACCCGGAACACCGAUUGCGAAGGCAGCCCGCUAAGCAACUAUUGACGCUGAGGCACGAAAGCGUGGGGAUCAAACAGG